CUCCUCUCAGGGUCACACCUGGAGAGUUCCCAGUACUCUACCAGUCUCGACUACAGGAGGGAGAGUCAGGCAGAGGCCUGCCCAUUUCAUUCCGAGCUUGGGCAGUGGAUAGCGAGUGGAAGGCAAUCUGCUUCAAGU
RNAcentral lists this small nucleolar RNA (138 nucleotides) under Ornithorhynchus anatinus (platypus). The record is from RNAcentral. Lineage: Eukaryota; Metazoa; Chordata; Mammalia; Monotremata; Ornithorhynchidae.